Molecule: ribosomal RNA, 445 nt
Filed under: uncultured bacterium
Lineage: Bacteria
Description: partial 16S ribosomal RNA
Rfam family: Bacterial small subunit ribosomal RNA
Source: RNAcentral
GUGAGGAAUAUUGGACAAUGGGCGCAAGCCUGAUCCAGCCAUGCCGCGUGCAGGAAGACGCAUCUAUGGUGUGUAAACUGCUUUUGUACGGGAAGAAACACUCCCUCGUGAGGGAGCUUGACGGUACCGUAAGAAUAAGGAUCGGCUAACUCCGUGCCAGCAGCCGCGGUAAUACGGAGGAUCCAAGCGUUAUCCGGAAUCAUUGGGUUUAAAGGGUCCGUAGGCGGUUUAAUAAGUCAGUGGUGAAAGCCCAUCGCUCAACGAUGGAACGGCCAUUGAUACUGUUAGACUUGAAUUACAAGGAAGUAACUAGAAUAUGUAGUGUAGCGGUGAAAUGCUUAGAUAUUACAUGGAAUACCAAUUGCGAAGGCAGGUUACUACUAGUGGAUUGACGCUGAUGGACGAAAGCGUGGGGAGCGAACAGGAUUAGAAACCCGUGUAGUCC